UACGUAGGGGGCGAGCGUUGUCCGGAUUUACUGGGCGUAAAGCGCGUGUAGGCGGCUGCUUAAGUCGGGUGUGAAAGCCCGGGGCUCAACCCCGGGAUGCCGCCCGAGACUGGGCGGCUUGAGGUCGGAAGAGGGGAGUGGAAUUCCAGGUGUAGCGGUGAAAUGCGCAGAUAUCGGGAAGAACACCCGUGGCGAAGGCGGCUCUCUGGGACGGUACUGACGCUGAGACGCGAAAGCGUGGGGAGCGAACAGG
RNAcentral lists this ribosomal RNA (253 nucleotides) under uncultured bacterium. RNAcentral's name for it is "partial 16S ribosomal RNA". It matches the Rfam family "Bacterial small subunit ribosomal RNA", at positions 524 to 776 of the family's 1533-position model. The record is from RNAcentral.